This 254-nucleotide ribosomal RNA is filed under the name uncultured bacterium. RNAcentral's name for it is "partial 16S ribosomal RNA". It matches the Rfam family "Bacterial small subunit ribosomal RNA", at positions 524 to 776 of the family's 1533-position model. The record is from RNAcentral.
GACAGAGGGUGCAAACGUUGUUCGGAAUUACUGGGCGUAAAGGGCGCGUAGGCGGCCUCCGCAAGUCAGUUGUGAAAUCUCCGAGCUUAACUCGGAAAGGUCAACUGAUACUGCGGGGCUAGAGUGCGGAAGGGGCAACUGGAAUUCUUGGUGUAGCGGUGAAAUGCGUAGAUAUCAAGAGGAACACCUGCGGCGAAGGCGGGUUGCUGGGCCGACACUGACGCUGAGGCGCGAAAGCUAGGGGAGCGAACGGG